AUGGCGUUUCCCUCUGGAUCCCUCUCUCUUUCACUCAGUUUCCUCCUCUCUCUCACACACUUGGUUCACAGGAACGUCGCCAUGGCCGCCGCGUCGACUUUGUCUCCACCAAAGCCCCGCCGACGACCAGCACCCGACGCCGGCAAGCAGCAGCAGCAGCAGCUCCCGCAACCCCUCGUUCCCAAGCACGUCAAACCGUCGCCUCUUGCUCGCUCUAUUUCUAUGCCUAUGCCGCGAUACCUACCACUUCCUAUAUCAUGCCUCCCAUUUUGCCAUGACAAGCCUCUAACCCACCUUCCCUAG
Molecule: ribosomal RNA, 303 nt
Filed under: Triticum aestivum (bread wheat)
Lineage: Eukaryota; Viridiplantae; Streptophyta; Magnoliopsida; Poales; Poaceae
Description: partial small subunit ribosomal RNA
Source: RNAcentral